GACGAAGGUGGCAAGCGUUGCUCGGAAUCACUGGGCUUAAAGCGGGCGUAGGCGGCCCGGCAAGUCGGGUGUGAAAACCCCUGGCUCAACCAGGGAACUGCACCCGAUACUACCAGGCUUGAGGCACUUAGGGGCGGCUGGAACUCUCGGUGGAGCGGUGAAAUGCGUAGAUAUCGAGAGGAACGCCAAUGGUGAAGACAGGUCGCUAGGAGUGUCCUGACGCUGAGGCCCGAAAGCUAGGGGAG
Molecule: ribosomal RNA, 245 nt
Filed under: uncultured bacterium
Lineage: Bacteria
Description: partial 16S ribosomal RNA
Rfam family: Bacterial small subunit ribosomal RNA
Source: RNAcentral